UGGAGGCAAAACCCAAAAAAACGACAGUCUCAGUUCGGAUUGAAGGCUGAAAUUCGCCUUCAUGAAGCCGGAAUUGCUAGUAAUGGCAGGUCAGCAUACUGCCGUGAAUACGUUCCCGGGCCUUGUACACACCGCCCGUCACACCAUGAGAGUUGGGAAUACCCGAAGCCUGUGAGCUAACUUUUAGAGGCAGCAGUCGAAGGUAGAAUCAAUGAUUGGGGUGAAGUCGUAACAAGGUAAC
This 241-nucleotide ribosomal RNA is filed under the name uncultured bacterium. RNAcentral's name for it is "partial 16S ribosomal RNA". It matches the Rfam family "Bacterial small subunit ribosomal RNA", at positions 1262 to 1500 of the family's 1533-position model. The record is from RNAcentral.